RNAcentral lists this ribosomal RNA (848 nucleotides) under Ricinoides sp. 2 LRB-2021. Its description in RNAcentral is "partial large subunit ribosomal RNA". It matches the Rfam family "Eukaryotic large subunit ribosomal RNA", at positions 1094 to 1895 of the family's 3401-position model. The record is from RNAcentral. Lineage: Eukaryota; Metazoa; Arthropoda; Arachnida; Ricinulei; Ricinoididae.
ACUGAAGCCCGGACGUGACAGGAUGCGAGUGCCAGUGGGCCACUUUUGGUAAGCAGAACUGGCGCUGUGGGAUGAACCAAACGCUGGGUUAAGGCGCCCGAUGACAGACGCUCAUCAGAUCCCAUGAAAGGUGUUGGUUGCUAUAGACAGCAGGACGGUGGCCAUGGAAGUCGGAAUCCGCUAAGGAGUGUGUAACAACUCACCUGCCGAAGCAACUAGCCCUGAAAAUGGAUGGCGCUGUAGCGUCGAGCCCAUACCCGGCCGCCCCGGCUGUGCGCGGAAGCUUAUGCAGGGGUGAGUAGGAGGUGUCGCAGCGGCGUGCGUUGAAGGUGCCGGGCGUGGGCCCGCCUGGAGCCGCCGCUGGUGCAGAUCUUGGUGGUAGUAGCAAAUACUCAAGUGAGAACCUUGAGGACUGAGGUGGAGAAGGGUUCCAUGUGAACAGCAGUUGAACAUGGGUCAGUCGGUCCUAAGGGAUAGGAGAAAUCCGUUCCGAAGCGGGACCUGCGUGCACCGUUAGGUCCUGUGGUUGACCGAAAGGGAAUCGGGUUAAUAUUCCCGAACUCGGACGCGGAGAUCGGCCCCUCGGGGUCAACUGCGGUAACGCAACCAAACUCGGAGACGUCGAUCGGGGUCCCGGGAAGAGUUGUCUUUUCUUUGUAAGGGAUCGGCUCCCUGGAAUCGGCUCGCCCGGAGAUAGGGAUGCUGUUCCCGUAAAGCACCGCGGCUCUUGCGGUGUCCGGAGCGCUCCGGUCGGCCCUUGAAAAUCCGAGGGAGAGUGUGAUUUUCGUGCCGGACCGUACCCAUAUCCGCAGCAGGUCUCCAAGGUGAACAGCCUCUAGUCGAUGGAA